This is a non-coding RNA of Bos taurus (domestic cattle), 73 nucleotides long. Lineage: Eukaryota; Metazoa; Chordata; Mammalia; Artiodactyla; Bovidae. The record is from Rfam.
UCCCUGGUGGUCCAGUUGUGAGGACUUGGAGCUUUUGCUGCCAAGGGCCUAGGAUCAAUCCCUAUUCAGGGAA